RNAcentral lists this long non-coding RNA (344 nucleotides) under Lathyrus oleraceus (garden pea). Its description in RNAcentral is "Pisum sativum (pea) long non-coding RNA (PSAT_LNC016476)". Lineage: Eukaryota; Viridiplantae; Streptophyta; Magnoliopsida; Fabales; Fabaceae. The record is from RNAcentral.
UUAGCCUUAUUCACUUGUUUAUUUUUAUCAUUGCCAUCCAAGCUCGGAUGCACCUUCAUUGGAUACUUCUUUGAGGAGCAACCAAUCUAGAAGGUUUGCCACUCAACCAACCAAAAAUUUAUUAAAACACACAAAAUUUAAAACAUAAAUAAUAAUAUUAACUCAAAAUUUAAAUUUGUUCAUGGGGGACAAAACACCCCAAAAGUACAAAGCCAAAAUCAAAAUACAGAAUUCUGGAAAUACAGUAGAAAUAAAACAUAAAAUAAAAAAUAAAAAACUUAGCCCUCCAAGGACUCAGAACCCUCCUCACUACCGGCUUCAGAACCGGUAGCCUCAUCAUCAUC